Molecule: ribosomal RNA, 348 nt
Filed under: uncultured Desulfobulbus sp.
Lineage: Bacteria; Pseudomonadati; Thermodesulfobacteriota; Desulfobulbia; Desulfobulbales; Desulfobulbaceae
Description: bacterial SSU rRNA
Rfam family: Bacterial small subunit ribosomal RNA
Source: RNAcentral
GACAGUGCUGCAUGGCUGUCGUCAGCUCGUGUCGUGAGAUGUUGGGUUAAGUCCCGCAACGAGCGCAACCCUUGCCUUUAGUUGCCAGCAGUUCGGCUGGGCACUCUAAAGGGACUGCCGGUGUUAAACCGGAGGAAGGUGGGGAUGACGUCAAGUCCUCAUGGCCUUUAUGACCAGGGCUACACACGUACUACAAUGGCCGAUACAAAGGGCAGCGACACUGCGAGGUGAAGCCAAUCCCGUAAAAUCGGUCUCAGUCCGGAUUGGAGUCUGCAACUCGACUCCAUGAAGUUGGAAUCGCUAGUAAUCGUGGAUCAGCAUGCCACGGUGAAUACGUUCCCGGGCCUU